GGUGAUUAUAGUUCAAUUGGUGAGAACGUCAAUUUGUGGUAUUGAAGCGUCUGGGUUCGAGUCCCAGUAUUCACC
This 75-nucleotide transfer RNA is filed under the name Rhizophagus sp. (in: glomeromycetes). RNAcentral describes it as "Rhizophagus sp. (in: Fungi) tRNA-His". It matches the Rfam family "tRNA". Rfam says of the family: Transfer RNA (tRNA) molecules are approximately 80 nucleotides in length. Lineage: Eukaryota; Fungi; Glomeromycota; Glomeromycetes; Glomerales; Glomeraceae. The record is from RNAcentral.